This is an RNA transcript of Suricata suricatta (meerkat), 3171 nucleotides long. It is a transcript of the gene named solute carrier family 38 member 8, with no coding region annotated. NCBI's taxonomy places the organism in Eukaryota, Metazoa, Chordata, Mammalia, Carnivora, Herpestidae. The record is from RefSeq and is a predicted model, not a curated record. The transcript has 18 exons.
UGCAGGGCCCCGUUCCCAGCGUUGCUCACUUGGUGGCACCCGUGCCACCUGACUCGAGGGCCGGGGUUGUCCUCCUGGGCCACAGUCCCGGCUCCCUUGUCACCGGCCAUGCCUGCCACUUGGCAUGCCCUCGACACCUCUGCACGGAGCCUGCAGAGACAUGAACAGUCUGCUGGUGACACAGGAUUGAGACCGUUGGAAACCACACGGAGGAAAAGCCCUGGGCGCUGAUCUGGUGGCUGAGAGAUAAGGACUGGCGGGGUGAGGCUCCGGCCCCAGAGAUGGUUAACUGAAAGCCAAAGGUCUCCAGAGGCGGCCCCUGGACCAGCUGGAUCCGCCUCCCCGGGGAGCCAGUUAGAAAUGCAGACGCUCAGACCCCACCCCAGACCCACGGAUUGGUAACAUGCCAUCAAGGGACUGGAACCCGGGUGCCAGGAAUGGGCAGUUCACGGUUGAAUUCCAGAUGUGACCUUCGCGUAUUUUCCAGAAUGGUACAAUUUCCUACACUCUGCCAUCUCCUCUGACAGCGUAGCAGGUCAAGGCCGUGUCUCCUCAAGUCUGCUCCAGACCAGCGACACCCGCCUCCCUGGACCUUGGGAGUGAGGUGGAAUCUUGGCUCCGCCGAGGGGACCGUGAAUUUGAAUCUGCCUGCUGACAAGACCCCGGUGGGGGCCCCAAAAUGCAGCUGAACCCACUCGAGCCAGCGAGUUGGAGCUCUGUCCCUGAUGCCUGACGACAGUCUCACCUCGAAGUCUGGAUUUGCGGAUGUGUGACUGAUUUGGGGACGCGAGAGCUGUCACCGCCAGGAAGACAACGUGGAGACGGCGCCUCUCCCCAGCCCGCUGCUGCUUCUAGCCAUGGAGGGACCGGCGGGAGGCAGCCCGGGCCCCGCGGAGAAGCCGGGCCCCGCGGCCGCCAGCCCCUCUCUGUCCUCGCUGGGCGCUGUCUUCAUCCUCCUGAAGUCCGCGCUGGGGGCCGGCCUGCUCAACUUCCCCUGGGCCUUCCACAAGGCGGGUGGGGUGACCCCCGCCUUCCUGGUGGAGCUGGUGUCCUUGGUCUUCCUCAUCAGCGGGCUGGUCAUCCUGGGCUACGCCGCCGCCGUCAGCGGCCAGACGACCUACCAGGGUGUGGUUGGAGGGCUGUGCGGCCCCGCCCUUGGGAGGCUGUGUGAGGCCUGCUUCAUCAUCAACCUGCUCAUGAUCUCCGUGGCCUUCCUCAGGGUGAUUGGGGACCAGCUGGAGAAGCUAUGUGACUUCCUGCUGCCCGGCACCCCCCUGGCCCCGCAGCCGUGGUACGUGGACCAGCGCCUCACGCUGCCCCUGCUCUCUGCGCUGGUCAUCCUGCCCCUGUCGGUCCCUCGUGAGAUCGGGUUCCAGAAGUACACCAGCAUCCUAGGCACCCUGGCCGCCUGCUACCUGGCCCUGGUCAUCGUGGUGCAGUACUACGUGGGCUCCCAAGGCCUUGUUCGCGAGCCCCACCCUGCGCAGAGGAUGGACUCAGCUAUUCCUAGCAAGGGCCAGGGACAGAGAGGCACAGGGGCACUAAAAGCCCCACCAGCUGGGGCUCCUAGGUUGUCAGCAGAGGUGUCCCCCACAGCACGGGGAUGGCGGAGCUGGCCCACAACGCACAGCCCCUCCUCCUGGACCUCUGUGUUUAGUGUCUUCCCCACGAUCUGCUUCGGAUUCCAGUGUCACGAAGCCGCGGUGUCGAUCUACUGUAGCAUGAGCAACCAGAGCCUCCCUCACUGGGCCCUGGUGUCCGUGCUGUCCCUGCUGGCCUGCUGCCUCAUCUACUCGCUGACAGGCGCCUCUCUAGUCCGCUCCCUGGCUUUCCACCCUCUCGGCCUCCCAGGGGUUUACGGCUUCCUGACCUUCGGGAUCGAGGUUUCCGCGGACAUCUUGAUGUCUUACCCAGGCGACGAUGUGGUCAUCAUCGUGGCCCGGGCCCUCUUCGGUGUGUCCAUCAUGACCGUCUACCCCAUCGUGCUCUUCCUGGGGAGGUCGGUGCUGCAGGAUUUCUGGAGGAGGAGCUGGUGCCGGCCGUGUGGGCCCGGGGCCCUGGCCGAGCCCUCAGGGCCGUGGGUCCGGGUGCCGCUGACCGUCCUGUGGGUUGCCGUGACGCUGGCCAUGGCCCUGCUCCUGCCCGACCUCAGCGAGAUCAUCGGCAUCAUUGGCGGGAUCAGUUCCUUCUUCAUCUUCAUCUUCCCAGGUCUGUGCCUCAUCUGUGCCGUCAGCGUCCAGCCUGUAGCUCCGUGCGUCAGGGACCUAGCGUGGCCAGAGGAACGAGGCUGGGACGCCAUUCCGCCGUCUGCCCUGACGAAGGCCUGCCUCCUCGUGCCUCCCGAGGGCGGUUUCGGGUUUGAACUGGACACGGCAAGAAUGUCACUGGCCACCGAACGCAGGUGGUGAGCUGCUCUGUGCGGUGUUUGGGGCCCCGUGUGCGCCUCGGAACAGAGCAGCCAAGUCCCCCAGUAAUGGGCUUGGACCGAGGAAGCCGACUGAGCUCUUUGGAUCCAAGUGGUGCCGUGUGCUUGCUGUGUGACCCCCGGGCCUCAGACCAGAGGUGUGGGCUUGCCCUCCCGAGGGGCUGGAGGACCGGUCCCCUGGGGCUCGGGGCGGCACCGCUCUGUGCGCGUCGUCACACGUCCAGCCGUGCUGGCACAGACGGGAGGGGACAGCUGUGCUCUGGGCGAGGUCUCGCUGAGAUCCCGCUCGGCCCUGUCCUUCAGGGGUGAGCCUCACCCUCCAGCCCGCCAUCUCCCCCGGGCUAGGCCCCCGCACACCUGGCACCAGGAUCCUGGCGAGGGCCUCAGGCCGACUCAGCGUGUCCACCUUGACGUGCCGGAAGGCCUUGCACACGGGGCUCUGCAGACCACGAAGGUGAAGCCAUCGGCCAGCCUCACUGCCGCGACGCUGCGGGGACAGGCUCCAGCUGGAGGCCCGGCCACUGCUGCACCCCCCACCCCGAGCAUGACCAAACGGGGGAGGGACCCCCAGCCCCUGCCCUCCACUGUGUUCAGUGAGUCUCUCCACCACCUACCGCCAGGCCAGGUCCCUGAAGGUGGCCAAGAACUACUCACAAUGUGAAUUAGACAAUGCAAGGACACUUUAAAGCGGCCUUAAAGUCAUUUAAAGACCCCACCUUUAAAAAUAAAGGCAUCUUCCAGCUGUA